This 134-nucleotide small nucleolar RNA is filed under the name Myotis davidii. Lineage: Eukaryota; Metazoa; Chordata; Mammalia; Chiroptera; Vespertilionidae. The record is from RNAcentral.
GUGUAGUCCUGAGAACAAAUUCAAGAAAUAGUGUGCUGCAGUGCAGCCAUAGGCAGCCACACACGUCAGAACAUAGGGUUCCUGCCGGCAGGGUCUAUAAUUACCAGUUUGUCUGUGCGAUGGCUCCAUACAUG